RNAcentral lists this ribosomal RNA (685 nucleotides) under Aplanochytrium stocchinoi. RNAcentral's name for it is "partial Bacterial large subunit ribosomal RNA". It matches the Rfam family "Bacterial large subunit ribosomal RNA", at positions 1225 to 1787 of the family's 2925-position model. The record is from RNAcentral. Lineage: Eukaryota; Bigyra; Thraustochytrida; Thraustochytriidae.
UGGGUAGGGUAGCGUCGUGUGGGCAGUGAAGCGCCGGAGUGAUCCAGGUGUGGAGCCCACACGAGUGAGAAUGCAGGCAUGAGUAGCGAAUCACGGGUGAGAAACCCGUGCGCCGAAUGAUCAAGGGUUCCAGGGUCAAGCUAAUCUGCCCUGGGUAAGUCGGGACCUAAGGCGAGGCCGACAGGCGUAGUCGAUGGACAACGGGUUGAUAUUCCCGUACCGGCGAAGUUGCGCCCAUGACGAACCUGGUGAUGCUAACCACCCGAAACUCAUCGGACCGGACCCUUCGGGGCGAGGCUGGUGGGCGGAGCGUGGGACCCUAGCCGGUAGUAGUCAAGCGAUGGGGUGACACAGGAAGGUAGCCCAACCACAGCGAUGGUUGUCUGUGGGCAAGCGUGUAGGACGUGGUGUAGGCAAAUCCGCACCAUCCACUUCAGUGUGGAGUCUGAGACGUGAUGCGGAGCCGUAUGGCGAAGUGGGUGAUCCUAUGCUGUCGAGAAAAACCUCUAGCGAGCAACGAGCCGCCCGUACCCCAAACCGACUCAGGUGAUCAAGUAGAGAAUACUAAGGCGAUCGAGAAAACCAUGGUUAAGGAACUCGGCAAAAUGCCCCCGUAACUUCGGGAGAAGGGGGGCCUGAGGCGUGAACGGACUUGCUCCGGAAGCGCUGUAUGGCCGCAGAGACC